UAGAUUCAGAGUAAAAGUUGU
RNAcentral lists this non-coding RNA (21 nucleotides) under Arabidopsis thaliana (thale cress). The record is from RNAcentral. Lineage: Eukaryota; Viridiplantae; Streptophyta; Magnoliopsida; Brassicales; Brassicaceae.